RNAcentral lists this transfer-messenger RNA (243 nucleotides) under Rhodocyclaceae bacterium. RNAcentral's name for it is "partial transfer-messenger RNA". It matches the Rfam family "Betaproteobacteria transfer-messenger RNA", at positions 82 to 331 of the family's 331-position model. Rfam says of the family: Bacterial tmRNA, also known as 10Sa RNA or SsrA, is named for its dual tRNA and mRNA-like properties. Its role is to liberate the mRNA from a stalled ribosome. Lineage: Bacteria; Pseudomonadati; Pseudomonadota; Betaproteobacteria; Rhodocyclales; Rhodocyclaceae. The record is from RNAcentral.
GGACAGGGGUUCGAUUCCCCUCACCUCCACCUAAGUGCAUCGGAGUGUGCUUAGGUGGGGGUGUACCGGUUUCGACAGGGCGGGCGAAGGUGAGCAGGCAACCCGAGAGGCGACGGACGUAAUCCGCGCAAAUCUGUAAACGCCAACGAUGAGCGUUUCGCACUGGCCGCUUAAGGUCGGAGCCGGGGCCGCUGAAGCCUUGUAACCCAAGACAGCCGGCGGGGACUUCGGUCCCCGUCGUCA